CAGUAGCCGCGGGAAUACGUAGGUGGCAAGCGUUGUCCGGAAUUAUUGGGCGUAAAGGGCUCGCAGGCGGUUUCUUAAGUCUGAUGUGAAAGCCCCCGGCUCAACCGGGGAGGGUCAUUGGAAACUGGGAAACUUGAGUGCAGAAGAGGAGAGUGGAAUUCCACGUGUAGCGGUGAAAUGCGUAGAGAUGUGGAGGAACACCAGUGGCGAAGGCGACUCUCUGGUCUGCAACUGACGCUGAGGAGCGAAAGCGUGGGGAGCGAACAGGAUUAGAGACCCCUGUAGUCCCUGUCUCUUAUAC
This 301-nucleotide ribosomal RNA is filed under the name uncultured bacterium. RNAcentral's name for it is "partial 16S ribosomal RNA". It matches the Rfam family "Bacterial small subunit ribosomal RNA", at positions 509 to 807 of the family's 1533-position model. The record is from RNAcentral.